Chlorocebus sabaeus (green monkey) is the source of this 3094-nucleotide non-coding RNA. The record is from RefSeq and is a predicted model, not a curated record. Lineage: Eukaryota; Metazoa; Chordata; Mammalia; Primates; Cercopithecidae.
GCGUGCGCGGGGCAUGCUGGGAGUGGUUGUGUACUGUCGCCAACAGCAGGUGAAGCCUAGCAGAGGACGCGUCCAGCCGAUCCGGUGAAGCAAUUCCUGCAGGCGUUGGUUCCCCCCUUUGCCCUGGUAAAGGCAGGCUUUUAUGCGAGAGGAUUUGAAUUUGUUGAAAUGAGCAGUCGUAAAUCAAAGAGUAACAGCUUAAUUCACGCAGAGUGCCUUUCACAGGUACAAAGAAUUUUACGUGAAAGAUUUUGUCAUCAGAGUCCACAUAGUAACCUAUUUGGAGUGCAAGUACAAUACAAACACUUAAGUGAGCUGCUAAAAAGGACCGCUCUCCAUGGAGAGAGUAACUCUGUCCUCAUUAUCGGACCCCGAGGAUCAGGAAAAACUAUGUUAAUAAAUCAUGCUUUGAAAGAACUCAUGGAAAUAGAAGAAGUGAGUGAAAAUGUAUUACAAGUUCACUUAAAUGGACUGCUGCAGAUCAAUGACAAAAUUGCCCUAAAGGAAAUCACGAGGCAGUUAAAUCUGGAAAAUGUAGUUGGAGAUAAAGUUUUUGGAAGCUUUGCUGAAAACCUUUCAUUUCUUCUGGAAGCUUUAAAAAAAGGUGACCGAACUAGCAGUUGCCCAGUGAUCUUCAUAUUAGAUGAAUUUGAUCUUUUUGCUCAUCAUAAAAACCAGACACUUCUCUAUAAUCUUUUUGACAUUUCUCAGUCUGCACAGACCCCAAUAGCAGUUAUUGGCCUUACAUGUAGAUUGGAUAUUUUGGAACUCUUAGAAAAAAGAGUGAAGUCAAGAUUUUCUCACCGGCAGAUACACUUAAUGAAUUCAUUUGGUUUUCCACAGUAUGUUAAAAUAUUUAAAGAACAGUUAUCUCUACCUGCAGAAUUUCCAGACAAGCUUUUUGCUGAGAAGUGGAAUGAAAAUGUUCAGUAUCUCUCAGAAGAUAGAAGUGUGCAAGAAGUACUACAGAAGCAUUUCAAUAUCAGCAAAAACCUGCGGUCAUUACACAUGCUAUUGAUGCUUACUUUAAAUCGAGUAACAGCAUCACACCCAUUUAUGACUGCCAUAGAUCUAAUGGAAGCAAGUCAACUGUGUAGCAUGGACUCAAAAGCAAAUAUUGUACAUGCCUUUAACUUAGUCCUUUUGAAGGUACUAUCACUCCCAUUUAAAGUGAAAAAAAAAUUUGACGCUCUGCCUCUUUUGCCACAUUGGAAAUCCAGGUCUAUCAGUCUUGGAAAUCUGUCUUAUAAUAGCAAUGAAACAUUUAAAUGACAUCUAUGAGGAAGAGCCAUUUAAUUUUCAAAUGGUCUAUAAUGAGUUUCAGAAGUUUGUUCAAAGGAAAGCACAUUCUGUUUAUAAUUUUGAAAAACCUGUUGUCAUGAAGGCUUUUGAACACUUGCAACAAUUAGAAUUAAUAAAGCCCAUGGAAAGAACUUCAGGAAAUUCACAGAGAGAGUACCAGCUGAUGAAACUGCUUUUGGAUAAUACUCAAAUUAUGAAUGCUCUGCAGAAAUAUCCCAACUGUCCUACAGAUGUGAGGCAGUGGGCAACAUCCUCACUGAGCUGGUUAUGAAUAUAACCAGUGACUUCAACUUUGGCAUUUCAUUCAUACUUCUGUAGAGAACGAAAAACUAUUGUCCUUUAACAUGAUAAUACUGAACAUUCUAUAAAUAUUUUUGUAUUUAUGUGAGACUUGCAUGUCUAUUGUCUUGGCUGUGUCUUGCCUUUUAAUCAUGAACAGUUACAUGAUUUGUAAUUUCAGUAAUUGAGAUUACUUUGUAAGUAGCAGUUCAGAAGAAUAAAAUAUGACUGUUUUAGGGACUAGACCAUGUGCUUUUUUAACACUUAUAUAUAUAAUGGUCUAUUUGAAGAGCUCACUUCAACCUAACAGCUAGAUGUCUUUACAAACCUUAAACCAAAGGAGUGAAAAAACAAUCGUAACAACUGAAGUAUAAGUAACCUUUGGUACAGUAGGUUUGCUGCAGGGUUUUUUUCUGUCCACAAGCAAAUUUUGGAUUCUAUCCCAGACUCAGGUUUUCUAGUUCAGGAGACUAACCAGCUUAGUCAGAAGAUGGUUCACAUGGAAGGAAAAGGCCAAGGAGUUUGGAGAUUUUUCUUCUAGAUAUCUCAAAAUGUGGUACUCAUACCACCCACAUCAGAAUCCCUUGUAAGAUUUUCUAAAAUUACAGAUUGUUGAGCUUACCAUAGGUCAAAAGGAUUGGAAUUUGCCUUCUUAACAAGUAUAGUCAUGGCACCACAUAACAUUUUGGUCCGUGACAUUGUAUAUAUGAGGGUGGUCUCGUAAGACUAUACCAUAUUUUUACUGUACCUUUUCUAUGUUUGAAUAUACAAAUGUUUACCAGUGUGUUACAGUUGCCUACAGUAUUACAGUAACAUUCUGUACAGCAUUGUAGCUUAAGAGUAAUAGGCUAGGCUGUAUGUAUAGCCUAGGUGUGUAACAGGCUAUAUACCAUCAGGGUUUGUGUAAGUACACUCUCUGAUGUUCAUCCAAUGAUGAAAUCACCCAGAGACACAUUUCUCAGAACAGCCCCAUCAUGAAGUGACGUGACUGUACCAGAGAUUUCUGGAAAAGCACUCCCAAAAGUAAUGAGACAUGUAUGGCAAUGUUAACUGAACCUGUAUCAAACAGUAAAUCCCUGAGGAAUGUGGAAAUGUCAGUAAAAGCAUUGUCUUUUAAGUAAGUUCCAAGAUCCAUGAAUUAACAGAGGCAUAUAUUUAAAAUGAAAUUUAAUAAGCACUUAAGUGACUUCAUUUGUUCAAGAAUAUUUGCCUACUGUGUGCAUGGGAGGUUAACAAAAGACAGACUGUCCCUAUGCUUGUGCAGCUUACAAUCCAUUUAACUGUUAGAGGCCCUGUGAGAUGUAGGUACUGUUAUUUACAGAUUAGAAAACUAACAAAGCAGUGGCAAUGCUGGGAAUAGCCAGCAGGCUUGGAAUUCAACUCAGUUUAACACCAAAGGCAGUGCUAUUAAAACCUGAAGUUCGACAGUGGAUUCCUUACCAAAUAGUUUUUAAAGUAUGCUCUAAGGCACAAUGUUUUAAUGAAAUCUUGGAUACAAAGUGGAAUAAAAAAU